RNAcentral lists this ribosomal RNA (238 nucleotides) under Enterobacter cloacae. RNAcentral's name for it is "partial 16S ribosomal RNA". It matches the Rfam family "Bacterial small subunit ribosomal RNA", at positions 1 to 233 of the family's 1533-position model. Lineage: Bacteria; Pseudomonadati; Pseudomonadota; Gammaproteobacteria; Enterobacterales; Enterobacteriaceae. The record is from RNAcentral.
UUAAAUUGAAGAGUUUGAUCAUGGCUCAGAUUGAACGCUGGCGGCAGGCCUAACACAUGCAAGUCGAACGGUAACAGGAAGCAGCUUGCUGCUUCGCUGACGAGUGGCGGACGGGUGAGUAAUGUCUGGGAAACUGCCUGAUGGAGGGGGAUAACUACUGGAAACGGUAGCUAAUACCGCAUAACGGCGCAAGACCAAAGAGGGGGACCUUCGGGCCUCUUGGCAUCGGAAGAUCCCC